This 253-nucleotide ribosomal RNA is filed under the name uncultured bacterium. RNAcentral describes it as "partial 16S ribosomal RNA". It matches the Rfam family "Bacterial small subunit ribosomal RNA", at positions 524 to 776 of the family's 1533-position model. The record is from RNAcentral.
UACAGAGGUCUCAAGCGUUGUUCGGAUUCAUUGGGCGUAAAGGGUGCGUAGGUGGCGCUGUAAGUCGGGUGUGAAAUUUCGGAGCUUAACUCCGAAACUGCAUUCGAUACUGCGGUGCUUGAGGACUGGAGAGGAGACUGGAAUUCAUGGUGUAGCAGUGAAAUGCGUAGAGAUCAUGAGGAAGACCAGUGGCGAAGGCGGGUCUCUGGACAGUCCCUGACACUGAGGCACGAAGGCCAGGGGAGCAAACGGG